RNAcentral lists this ribosomal RNA (501 nucleotides) under uncultured bacterium. Its description in RNAcentral is "partial 16S ribosomal RNA". It matches the Rfam family "Bacterial small subunit ribosomal RNA", at positions 899 to 1397 of the family's 1533-position model. The record is from RNAcentral.
ACUCAAAUGAAUAGACGGGGGCCCGCACAAGCGGUGGAGCAUGUGGUUUAAUUCGACGCAACGCGAAGAACCUUACCUAGGCUUGACAUGGCCGGGACCGCCGGGGGAAACCUCGGCCUCUCUUCGGAGCCCGGCCACAGGUGCUGCAUGGCUGUCGUCAGCUCGUGUCGUGAGAUGUUGGGUUAAGUCCCGCAACGAGCGCAACCCUUGUCACUAGUUACCAGCGGGUCAUGCCGGGCACUCUAGUGAGACUGCCGGUGCCAAACCGGAGGAAGGUGGGGAUGACGUCAAGUCAUCAUGGUCCUUACGUCUAGGGCUACACACGUGCUACAAUGGGCGGGACAACGGGUCGCCAACCCGCAAGGGGGAGCCAAUCCCACAAAUCCGCCCUCAGUUCGGAUUGUCGUCUGCAACUCGACGGCAUGAAGCUGGAAUCGCUAGUAAUCGCGGAUCAGCUACGCCGCGGUGAAUACGUUCCCGGGCCUUGUACACACCGCCCGU